UACGAAGGGGGCUAGCGUUGUUCGGAAUUACUGGGCGUAAAGCGCGUGUAGGCGGGUCUUUAAGUCAGGGGUGAAAUGCCAAGGCUCAACCUUGGAACUGCCUUUGAUACUGGAGACCUUGAGUCCGGGAGAGGUGAGUGGAAUUGCGAGUGUAGAGGUGAAAUUCGUAGAUAUUCGCAAGAACACCAGUGGCGAAGGCGACUCGCUGGACAAGUAUUGACGCUGAGGUGCGAAAGCGUGGGGAGCAAACAGG
Molecule: ribosomal RNA, 253 nt
Filed under: uncultured bacterium
Lineage: Bacteria
Description: partial 16S ribosomal RNA
Rfam family: Bacterial small subunit ribosomal RNA
Source: RNAcentral